AAGUCGAGCGAACAGAGAAGGAGCUUGCUCCUUCGACGUUAGCGGCGGACGGGUGAGUAACACGUGGGCAACCUACCUUAUAGUUUGGGAUAACUCCGGGAAACCGGGGCUAAUACCGAAUAAUCUGUUUCACCUCAUGGUGAAACACUGAAAGACGGUUUCGGCUGUCGCUAUAGGAUGGGCCCGCGGCGCAUUAGCUAGUUGGUGAGGUAACGGCUCACCAAGGCGACGAUGCGUAGCCGACCUGAGAGGGUGAUCGGCCACACUGGGACUGAGACACGGCCCAGACUCCUACGGGAGGCAGCAGUAGGGAAUCUUCCACAAUGGGCGAAAGCCUGAUGGAGCAACGCCGCGUGAGUGAAGAAGGAUUUCGGUUCGUAAAACUCUGUUGUAAGGGAAGAACAAGUACAGUAGUAACUGGCUGUACCUUGACGGUACCUUAUUAGAAAGCCACGGCUAACUACGUGCCAGCAGCCGCGGUAAUACGUAGGUGGCAAGCGUUGUCCGGAAUUAUUGGGCGUAAAGCGCGCGCAGGUGGUUUCUUAAGUCUGAUGUGAAAGCCCACGGCUCAACCGUGGAGGGUCAUUGGAAACUGGGAGACUUGAGUGCAGAAGAGGAUAGUGGAAUUCCAAGUGUAGCGGUGAAAUGCGUAGAGAUUUGGAGGAACACCAGUGGCGAAGGCGACUAUCUGGUCUGUAACUGACACUGAGGCGCGAAAGCGUGGGGAGCAAACAGGAUUAGAUACCCUGGUAGUCCACGCCGUACACGAUGAGUGCUAAGUGUUUAGGGGGGUUUCCGCCCCUUAGUGCUGCAGCUAACGCAUUAAGCACUCCGCCUGGCGGAGUACGGUCGCAAGACUGACACUCAAAGGAAUUGACGGGGGCUCGCACAAGCGGUGGAACCAUGUGGUUUUGAUUCGAAGCAGCGCGAAGAACCUUACCAGGUCUUGACAUCCCGUUGACCACUGUAGAAGAUAUAGUUUCCCCCUUCGGGGGCAACGGUGACUAGUGGUGGCACGGGUGUCCUCCCCCUCCUCGUCAGUUUAAUGUUGGCGUAAAUUCCCCUUAACUAACGCCAACCCUUGAUCCUAAAUGGCCUCCACUUAUUUUG
RNAcentral lists this ribosomal RNA (1110 nucleotides) under Lysinibacillus fusiformis. Its description in RNAcentral is "bacterial SSU rRNA". It matches the Rfam family "Bacterial small subunit ribosomal RNA", at positions 59 to 1133 of the family's 1533-position model. Lineage: Bacteria; Bacillati; Bacillota; Bacilli; Caryophanales; Bacillaceae. The record is from RNAcentral.